CCGACCUUAGCUCAGUUGGAAGAGCACGAGACUGUAAUUGGUUAUAUGGUGUUAUCUCGGGGUCGCCUGUUCGAACCAGGCAGGUCGGA
Molecule: transfer RNA, 89 nt
Filed under: Moniliophthora perniciosa FA553
Lineage: Eukaryota; Fungi; Basidiomycota; Agaricomycetes; Agaricales; Marasmiaceae
Rfam family: tRNA
About the family: Transfer RNA (tRNA) molecules are approximately 80 nucleotides in length.
Source: Rfam by way of RNAcentral